This 577-nucleotide ribosomal RNA is filed under the name Phaeophyceae sp. JT-2011. RNAcentral describes it as "LSU rRNA". It matches the Rfam family "Eukaryotic large subunit ribosomal RNA", at positions 53 to 662 of the family's 3401-position model. The record is from RNAcentral. Lineage: Eukaryota; Phaeophyceae.
GAGGAAAAGAAACUAACCAGGAUUCCCCCAGUAACGGCGAGUGAAGCGGGAAGAGCUCACGAUGUGAAUCCGGCCCCUUCGGGGCCCGAAUUGUAGUCUGGAGAGGCGAGGCCAGCCGCGGCGGGAGACGAAGUCUCUUGGAAAAGGGCAUCAGGGAGGGUGAUAAUCCCGUUCUUGUCCCCCGCUCAGCGCGCGUACGGCCCGUUUUCUACGAGUCGAGUUGCUUGGGAUUGCAGCUCAAAGCGGGUGGUAAAUUCCAUCUAAAGCUAAACACGGGAGGGAGACCGAUAGCGAACAAGUACCGUGAGGGAAAGAUGCAAAGAACUUUGAAAAGAGAGUUAAAGAGUGCCUGAAAUUGCUGAAAGGGAAGCGAAGGAAACCAGUGUCUGGCGUCUACGCUUCUCCCCGUGCCCCUCGGGGCCGGGGUCCGCGUGUUCGCCGUGGCCAGGGCAGGGUUCGAGCGCGAGAUACUCCGCGUCGGGAGGUAGCGUCUCUUCGGAGCGUGAAUACCGUCGCGCGACGUCGCGCCCGGGGCCUGCGCUGACGAAAUGGUUUUCUUCACCCCGUCUUGAAACAC